AAACAUGUCUCAGCAAUAAAUAUCCACAAGGUUGGAGCAACGCUUAUUCCUGUGUCAACAACACUCCUUAAGGAAAAGGAAACCACACUAUUGGCACUAUACAGGACCCAGUGGCAUUGCUAGCAUAUUUGAUACCCAGUGUGGAUCAUUUUUAAUGUCCCCCUCCUCUCCUCAACAGCCUUUUCUGGGUUUGGAGGAGCUGCCGGUCAGGCGUGAAAGAGAGGUGACUUUCUAUAUUAUCUGGCCGGAAGAGACACCAGAUCUUUCCACCAGUGCACUGGGGGACAACCCCAUCUGAGAUUUCACCCAGAGUGGUCUGCACACCUUGCACACCCUUACUGACACACCUGACAGGACUCCAUCCCUGUAUUGAUUUCUCUGCUAUCAAAAUACAGAUUGUAAGAUCAUUGGGGCAGAGCAUUUAUGUCAGUAUACGCCAUAUAUACCAGAAGUAAGCAACUGCAGCAGCUCUAGGGACCAAUGCCGGGGGCCACAUAAGCUGACCAGAAAAAAUGAGGGGAAAUUAAAAGUAGCUGAAACUUUUCUUCCAGUUAUGAAAGGUGGAGCUGAAAUUAGAACAUCCGCCAGCCCUGGCCGAGGCUUGCCAGUUUCAACACCAAUCUCUUACCCAAUCUCCUCCCAUUCAGAGCUGCUAUUUUCAUGCUCUCUUCCAGUAACAGGUUCUCCUGGGACUUGCUGAGUUUGGGUUGCCUUCGGAAGCAUUGCAUGGCUCUCCGGGAGAGGCACCAGGGAACAGCAAAGACAUCAGGAGGACUUCUCCACCGGACUCAGUUAACCAGGUUGCCACCAAGAUCCUUGUUGUUAAACAGUGGCUGGAAAGUUUGGCGACAGCAGCAGCAAAAGCAACAACACAAGGAGGAGGAGGGAAGGAAGAGGACUGAAGGCUUGGCUUCCAAUGUUGGACAGUGACGUUGAACAAUCACAGCUCUCUGGAAGAGGAAUUGUACUGCACUCCCGUCUUAGGGAGAGGGAGGACCAAAGUUCUCCAGUAAUUAAAACUUAAUUGCUUUGGGCGUCACAUGGCAAGGGGAAUUUGUGAUGCUGCUUUUCCUUCUUCCUUGGCCAUUCCUACUGUUUGUUCAGCCUCCAUAAUGGUUUGCAACACCUGAAAGUGCAGCUCUUUUAUCAUGAUUAAGUGGAAAGGUGGCACUCUCUUCUUGAUUCCAGCCUCCAGUUCCCACAGGGAUGGCUGCUGUGAAAUCGCGGAAUGUUUACACACAUUCCAACUGACUGGACCUGUUUUUUAAUGCUUUGAUCGUCCACGGAAAAGCGGUAUACAAAUAAAGCUUAUUAUUAUUAUUA
This is a long non-coding RNA of Sceloporus undulatus (fence lizard), 1323 nucleotides long. RefSeq lists it as uncharacterized. The record is from RefSeq and is a predicted model, not a curated record. The transcript is spliced from 2 exons. NCBI's taxonomy places the organism in Eukaryota, Metazoa, Chordata, Lepidosauria, Squamata, Phrynosomatidae.